UGGGGAAUAUUGCACAAUGGGCGCAAGCCUGAUGCAGCAACGCCGCGUGAGGGACGACGGCCUUCGGGUUGUAAACCUCUUUUGGCAGGGAAGAAGCGAAAGUGACGGUACCUGCAGAAAAAGCACCGGCUAACUACGUGCCAGCAGCCGCGGUUAUACGUAGGGUGCAAGCGUUGUCCGGAAUUAUUGGGCGUAAAGAGAUCGUAGGCGGUUUGUCGCGUCGUCUGUGAAAACCCGAGGCUCAACCUCGGGCCUGCAGUGGGUACGGGCAAACUAGAGUGCGGUAGGGGAGAUUGGAAUUCCUGGUGUAGCCGUGGAAUGCGCAGAUAUCAGGAGGAACACCGAUGGCGAAGGCAGAUCUCUGGGCCGUAACUGACGCUGAGGAGCGAAAGCAUGGGGAGCGAACA
This 407-nucleotide ribosomal RNA is filed under the name uncultured bacterium. RNAcentral's name for it is "bacterial SSU rRNA". It matches the Rfam family "Bacterial small subunit ribosomal RNA", at positions 355 to 774 of the family's 1533-position model. The record is from RNAcentral.